Molecule: ribosomal RNA, 217 nt
Filed under: Glomeromycotina sp.
Lineage: Eukaryota; Fungi; Glomeromycota
Description: partial small subunit ribosomal RNA
Rfam family: Eukaryotic small subunit ribosomal RNA (bases 41-217)
Source: RNAcentral
GGGGUCAGUAGGCUGGCCGUGCCACCGGUACGUACUGGUCUCACUGAUUCCUCCUUCCUGAAGAACCGUAAUGCCAUUAAUUUGGUGUUGCGGGGAAACAGGACUGUUACUUUGAAAAAAUUAGAGUGUUUAAAGAAAGCUAACGCUUGAAUACAUUAGCAUGGAAUAAUGAAAUAGGACGAUCGAUCCUAUUUUGCUGGUUUCUAGGAUUGACGUA